UCAAAUGAAUUGACGGGACCCGCACAAGCAGAAGAGCGCGUGGUUUAAUUCGACGGCAAUCGAAGAACCUUACCAGGGUUUGAAAUGUAUCUGCAUGCCCUAUGAAAAUAGGGAGGCCUUCGAGGGUGAUACACAGGUGCUGCAUGGCCGCCGUCAGCUCGUGUCGUGAGAUGUAGGGUUAAGUCCCGAAACGAGCGCAACCCCUAUUCUAUGUUACAAGUGUCUUAGAAAACCGCCUCGGUAAAACGAGGAGGAAGGUGGGGAUGACGUCUGGUCCGCAUAGCCCUUAUGUCCUGGGCUACACACGCGCUACAAUGGCCGAUACAGUAGGAAGCCAAAUCGUAAGAUGGAGCUAAUCCUUAAAGUCGGUCUCAGUUCGGAUUGAGGUCUGAAAUUCGACCUCAUGAAGUUGGAUUUGCUAGUAAUCGUAGAUCAGCAAUGCUACGGUGAAUACGUUCUCGGGUCUU
Molecule: ribosomal RNA, 467 nt
Filed under: uncultured Thermovirga sp.
Lineage: Bacteria; Thermotogati; Synergistota; Synergistia; Synergistales; Thermovirgaceae
Description: bacterial SSU rRNA
Rfam family: Bacterial small subunit ribosomal RNA
Source: RNAcentral